Long non-coding RNA from Neodiprion virginianus, 79 nucleotides. RefSeq lists it as uncharacterized. The record is from RefSeq and is a predicted model, not a curated record. The transcript is spliced from 3 exons. Lineage: Eukaryota; Metazoa; Arthropoda; Insecta; Hymenoptera; Diprionidae.
AAAAAUUUCAAUUUUAAUAUGAAGGGUAAGAAUUCUCGACCUCGUAGAUAAUAUAUUAGUGAGUCUUGAUGAGCGGUCA